GUGAGGAGUUUUCCGCAAUGGGCGAAAGCCUGACGGAGCAAUGCCGCGUGAAGGAUGAAGGCCUAUGGGUUGUAAACUUCUUUUCUCAGAAAAGAAUUAUGACGGUAUCUGAGGAAUAAGCAUCGGCUAACUCUGUGCCAGCAGCCGCGGUAAGACAGAGGAUGCAAGCGUUAUCCGGAAUGAUUGGGCGUAAAGCGUCUGUAGGUUGUUUAAAAAGUAUUCUGUCAAAGAUUAGGGCUUAACCCUAGAUAGGCAGAAUAAACUUUUAAGCUAGAGUUUGGUAGAGGCAGAGGGAAUUCCCGGUGGAGCGGUGAAAUGCGUAGAUAUCGGGAGGAACACCAAAGGCGAAGGCACUCUGCUGGGCCAAUACUAACACUGAGAGACGAAAGCGAGGGGAGCAAAUGGGAUUAGAAACCCCAGUAGUCC
This 426-nucleotide ribosomal RNA is filed under the name uncultured bacterium. Its description in RNAcentral is "partial 16S ribosomal RNA". It matches the Rfam family "Bacterial small subunit ribosomal RNA", at positions 354 to 796 of the family's 1533-position model. The record is from RNAcentral.